Molecule: ribosomal RNA, 252 nt
Filed under: uncultured bacterium
Lineage: Bacteria
Description: partial 16S ribosomal RNA
Rfam family: Bacterial small subunit ribosomal RNA
Source: RNAcentral
UACGUAGGUGGCGAGCGUUGUCCGGAUUUACUGGGCGUAAAGAGCGCGCAGGCGGUCGUGCAAGUCGCGUGUGAAAGCCCCCGGCUCAACUGGGGAGGGUCACGCGAUACUGCUCGACUGGAAGGCAGGAGAGGGAAGUGGAAUUCCCGGUGUAGUGGUGAAUGCGUAGAGAUCGGGAGGAACACCAGUGGCGAAGGCGGCGCGCUGGGCCGGUCCUGACGCUGAGACGCGAAGGCGUGGGGAGCGAACGGG